RNAcentral lists this ribosomal RNA (628 nucleotides) under Agrilus cuprescens. RNAcentral's name for it is "eukaryotic LSU rRNA". It matches the Rfam family "Eukaryotic large subunit ribosomal RNA", at positions 670 to 1238 of the family's 3401-position model. The record is from RNAcentral. Lineage: Eukaryota; Metazoa; Arthropoda; Insecta; Coleoptera; Buprestidae.
GGAGUCUAGCAUGUGCGCGAGUCAUUGGGACUCUAGCGAAACCUAAAGGCGAAAUGAAAGUGAACGUCUGCCUUAGCGCGGACGGAGGGAGGAUGGGUCGCGCUGCGUCGCGGCCCCGCACUCCCGGGGCGUUUCGUUCUCAUUGCGAGAAGAGGCGCACCCAGAGCGUACACGCUGGGACCCGAAAGAUGGUGAACUAUGCCUGGUCAGGACGAAGUCAGGGGAAACCCUGAUGGAGGUCCGUAGCGAUUCUGACGUGCAAAUCGAUCGUCGGAACUGGGUAUAGGGGCGAAAGACUAAUCGAACCAUCUAGUAGCUGGUUCCCUCCGAAGUUUCCCUCAGGAUAGCUGGCGCUCGCUUUUGCGAGUCUCAUCCGGUAAAGCGAAUGAUUAGAGGCAUUGGGGUCGAAACGGCCUCAACCUAUUCUCAAACUUUAAAUGGGUGAGAACUCCGGCUUGCUCGAACUAGAAGCCGCGAGUUUGUACGUAGUUUUACGAUCACGGAUCAGAGUGCCAAGUGGGCCACUUUUGGUAAGCAGAACUGGCGCUGUGGGAUGAACCAAACGCAGAGUUAAAGCGCCUAAAUCGACGCUCAUGGGAUACCAUGAAAGGCGUUGGUAACUUAAGAC